Molecule: RNA transcript, 937 nt
Organism: Spodoptera litura
Lineage: Eukaryota; Metazoa; Arthropoda; Insecta; Lepidoptera; Noctuidae
Gene: Xport-A
Gene name: exit protein of rhodopsin and TRP A
Source: RefSeq, a predicted model, not a curated record
ACUCUUAUCAGUACUGAAGAUUAUUAGAACUGUAAUGUAGUGUUAUAUAACCAGCGAAAUGAGUGAUGUAAUUUUAAACAAAUAAAUCUGUAGGUAUUGUUGAGUUUUCCAGAACCAUUUCAACAUGCUUUUUAAUCUGUUGAGGUCAAACUGCCAAUGACAUAAUUAUUACUCUGCUAUUCAAAAUAACGUCAACUAGACUCCUACAAUAGCAGAACGCUUUUUAGGGACAAGCGGCAAAAUUGCAUGUGCAUUUACAAACACACAAUAGAGACAUACACUAUAACCUGGAACAACAAUUUGUAGAGUUGCACAAAAAAUUGUUCCGUGCGGGAAUCGAAUCUGCGGAUACGUCGCAUGGCAGCCAGUUGGCCAGCAAUUGUGCAAAGCGUGCAACCAUAAAGAUGUGUUCAAAGGCAAUUAAGGAGUUGGUUUCCUUGUUAUUCUGAAGAUUUCUAUCAUCACUGCAGCACAGGUAUUAAGUGCACUAAGCUUUUACGCCUCUGGAUAUCUCGCUGGCGGUGUUUAUUGGUUGAUUGCAAGAUACACUUUUACCCUGCAACAGGGGACUGAUAUCAAAUGCUCGUGUGUGAGGAGCAACAGUUAAAAAUUACUAUGCAGAUGUUCGAUUUUUUUUUUGGAGAAGCCGGCCACAUUUUUAAACCGCUGCGACUCUUGUAAGCGAGGAUCUACCGUAGAUACAGCGAUGAUGACACUCAACACUAAGUCCGGCGUAUCAGGGACAUAAAUAACUGUCUCGGACCCACAACGAAAUCAGCUUCUGAUUUAUCAGAAGAUAUUAUUGGAGAAGAAAAAGACGAUAGUUUCCACUUCCCUAGGAUUUUUAGUUUUUGAAAUAAAUGUUUUAAAAUGAGUGAUUUUAUUUUAUUGAUGUGAAUGAUAUAAACUGAAAGAUAGUUGAAAUACCUCUCCCCUC